UGUCACUCUCUCUCUCACUCUGGCUGAGUCUCCAUCUGGAGCUUGGAACCCGCCAUGCUUACUAAUUAUGCCUGGGCUUCUAAGAUCCGACCGGGGAGGCCUCAGUGUCUCCUCUCCUUCGGGAGAACAGAAGGAUGCCUGCGGCCUACGUGACUCUAAUGAUAAAGAAUCUACCUGCCAAUGCAGGAGACAUGAAAGACAUGGAUUGAGUCCUUGGAUCUGGAAGAGCCCUUGAAAGAGAAAAUGUCACCCUACUCCAACAUUCAUGCCUAGAAAAAUCCCAUGGACAGAGGAGCUUGGUGGGCAACAGUCCAUGGGGCCACUAAGAGUCCAACACAACUGAGCACGUUGGUGUAUUUAAUGUGACCUUCCAGAUGUCCAAGGUGGAUUUAGAAACGGCAGAGGAACCAGAGAUCAAAUUGCCAACAUCUGAUGGAUCAUUGAAAAAGCAAGAGAGUUUCAGAAAAACAUCUACUUCUGCUUUAUUGACUAUGCCGAAGCCUUU
Long non-coding RNA from Bos taurus (domestic cattle), 505 nucleotides. The record is from Ensembl. Lineage: Eukaryota; Metazoa; Chordata; Mammalia; Artiodactyla; Bovidae.